RNAcentral lists this ribosomal RNA (200 nucleotides) under Clostridioides difficile. Its description in RNAcentral is "partial 23S ribosomal RNA". It matches the Rfam family "Bacterial large subunit ribosomal RNA", at positions 1 to 200 of the family's 2925-position model. The record is from RNAcentral. Lineage: Bacteria; Bacillati; Bacillota; Clostridia; Peptostreptococcales; Peptostreptococcaceae.
GGUCAAGUUAUUAAGGGUGCAGGGCGGAUGCCUUGGCACUAGGAGCCGAUGAAGGACGUGAUAAGCUGCGAUAAGCUUCGGGGAGUUGCACGUAAACUUUGAUCCGAAGAUUUCCGAAUGAGGAAACUCACUUAGAGUAAUGUCUAAGUAUCAUUAAGUGAAUACAUAGCUUAAUGAGGGGAACUCAGGGAACUGAAACA